RNAcentral lists this ribosomal RNA (418 nucleotides) under uncultured bacterium. Its description in RNAcentral is "bacterial SSU rRNA". It matches the Rfam family "Bacterial small subunit ribosomal RNA", at positions 43 to 507 of the family's 1533-position model. The record is from RNAcentral.
CAUGCCUAACACAUGCAAGUCGAACGAAGCCUUCGGGCUUAGUGGCGCACGGGUGCGUAACGCGUGGGAAUCUGCCCCUCGGUUCGGAAUAACAGUUAGAAAUGACUGCUAAUACCGGAUGAUGACGAAAGUCCAAAGAUUUAUCGCCGAGGGAUGAGCCCGCGUAGGAUUAGCUUGUUGGUGGGGUAAUGGCCCACCAAGGCGACGAUCCUUAGCUGGUCUGAGAGGAUGAUCAGCCACACUGGGACUGAGACACGGCCCAGACUCCUACGGGAGGCAGCAGUGGGGAAUAUUGGACAAUGGGCGAAAGCCUGAUCCAGCAAUGCCGCGUGAGUGAUGAAGGCCUUAGGGUUGUAAAGCUCUUUUACCAGGGAUGAUAAUGACAGUACCUGGAGAAUAAGCUCCGGCUAACUCCGUG